GUAACAAGGUUUCCGUAGGUGAACCUGCGGAAGGAUCCUUACAGAGUUCAUGCCCUCACGGGUAGACCUCCCACCCUUGAAUAUACUACCUUCGUUGCUUUGGCGAGCCGCUUCGGCUACCGACCUUGGUUGGUACGUGCUCGCCGGAGAACACCAAACUCUGAAUUAAUUUGUCGUCUGAGUACUAUAUAAUAGUUAAAACUUUCAACAACGGAUCUCUUGGUUCUGGCAUCGAUGAAGAACGCAGCGAAAUGCGAUAAGUAAUGUGAAUUGCAGAAUUCAGUGAAUCAUCGAAUCUUUGAACGCACAUUGCGCCCCCUGGUAUUCCGGGGGGCAUGCCUGUUCGAGCGUCAUUUAAACCCUCAAGCUCAGCUUGGUGUUGGGGCCUGCCCACCGGCAGCCCUUAAAAUCAGUGGCGGUGCCAUCUGGCUCUAAGCGUAGUAAUUUCUCUCGCUAUAGGGUCCCGGUGGAGACUUGCCAAAACCCCCAAUUUUUCUAUGGUUGACCUCGGAUCAGGUAGGGAUACCCGCUGAACUUAAGCAUAUC
This 546-nucleotide ribosomal RNA is filed under the name fungal sp. Its description in RNAcentral is "eukaryotic LSU rRNA". The stretch from base 200 to 353 matches the Rfam family "5.8S ribosomal RNA". The record is from RNAcentral. Lineage: Eukaryota; Fungi.